Oryza glaberrima (African rice) is the source of this 208-nucleotide non-coding RNA. The record is from Rfam. Lineage: Eukaryota; Viridiplantae; Streptophyta; Magnoliopsida; Poales; Poaceae.
AAUAAGUGUAGUUUUACACUAUUCACGCUCAACGUUUGAUCGUUCGUCUUAUUUGAAUUUUUUUUAUGAUUAGUAUUUUUAUUGCUAUUAGAUGAUAAAACAUGAAUAGUACUUUAUGUGUGACUAAAUAUUUUUAAAUUUUUCAUAAUUUUUUAAAAUAUGACGAACGGUUAAACAUUAGGCACGGAUAUAUACUACUAUACUUAUU